RNAcentral lists this transfer RNA (68 nucleotides) under Peromyscus leucopus (white-footed mouse). Its description in RNAcentral is "tRNA-Leu". It matches the Rfam family "tRNA". From Rfam's summary of the family: Transfer RNA (tRNA) molecules are approximately 80 nucleotides in length. Their secondary structure includes four short double-helical elements and three loops (D, anti-codon, and T loops). Lineage: Eukaryota; Metazoa; Chordata; Mammalia; Rodentia; Cricetidae. The record is from RNAcentral.
ACUUUUAUAGGAUAGGAGUAAUCCGUUGGUCUUAGGAAUCAAAAACUUGGUGCAACUCCAAAUAAAAG